CCUACGGGUGGCAGCAGUGAGGAAUAUUGGUCAAUGGACGCAAGUCUGAACCAGCCAUGCCGCGUGCAGGAAGACGGCUCUAUGGGUUGUAAACCUCUUUUGUCGGGGAGCAAAAGCCGGACGUGUCCGGCUGUGAGAGUACCCGAAGAAAAAGCAUCGGCUCACCCCGGGACAGCAGCCGCGGUAAUACGGAGGAAGCGAGCGUUAUCCGGAUUUUGUUGGUUUAAAGGGGGCGCAGGCGGAUUUUUAAGUCAGCGGUCAAAUCGUGGGGCUCAACCCCAUCCAGCCGUUGAAACUGGGGAUCUAGAGUGUGCGAGAGGUAUGCGGAAUGCGUGGUGUAGCGGUGAAAUGCAUAGAUAUCACGCAGAACCCCGAUUGCGAAGGCAGCAUACCGGUGCACAACUGACGCUCAGGCACGAAAGCGUGGGUAUCGAACAGGAUUAGAUACCCCAGUAGUC
RNAcentral lists this ribosomal RNA (458 nucleotides) under uncultured bacterium. Its description in RNAcentral is "partial 16S ribosomal RNA". It matches the Rfam family "Bacterial small subunit ribosomal RNA", at positions 338 to 795 of the family's 1533-position model. The record is from RNAcentral.